AGCAGCCGCGGUAAUUCCAGCUCCAAUAGCGUAUAUUAAAGUUGUUGCAGUUAAAAAGCUCGUAGUUGAAUUUCGGGAUCAAUACGUCGGUCGUGCUUCGGUACGUACUGGUGUCAUUGAUUUCUCCCUUCUGACGAACCAUGAUGUCAUUAACUUGGUGUCAUGGGAAAUCAGGACUGUUACUUUGAAAAAAUUAGAGUGUUUAAAGCAGGCUCACGCUUGAAUACAUUAGCAUGGAAUAAUGAAAUAGGACGUCCGAUCCUAUUUUGUUGGUUUCUAGGAUCAACGUAAUGAUUAAUAGGGAUAGUUGGGGGCAUUAGUAUUCAAUUGUCAGAGGUGAAAUUCUUGGAUUUAUUGAAGACUAACUACUGCGAAAGCAUUUGCCAAGGAUGUUUUCAUUAAUCAAGAACGAAAGUUAGGGGAUCGAAGACGAUCAGAUACCGUCGUAGUCUUAACCAUAAACUAUACCGACUAGGGAUCGGAUGAUGUUAAUUAUUAAUGA
Molecule: ribosomal RNA, 502 nt
Filed under: uncultured Glomus
Lineage: Eukaryota; Fungi; Glomeromycota; Glomeromycetes; Glomerales; Glomeraceae
Description: SSU rRNA
Rfam family: Eukaryotic small subunit ribosomal RNA
Source: RNAcentral